AGUGGAUGGGGAGCAACCUAGUUGUGCGUGUGUAAAGGUAGUGCCAAAAAAGCGAUGAUCAUGUUGAAAAUCAAUUCCCGGUACCCGAAACCGACACAGGUGGGCAAGUAGAGAAUACUAAGGGGCGCGAGGUAACUCUCUCCAAGGAACUCGGCAAAAUGACCCCGUAACUUAGGGAGAAGGGGUGCCACCGAGAGGUGGUCGCAGUGAAGAGGCCCAGGCGACUGUUUAGCAAAAACAUAGGUCUCUGCAAACUCGAAAGAGGAGGUAUAGGGGCUGACGCCUGCCCAGUGCCGGAAGGUUAAAGAAGUUGGUCAGUUUUAGGAUGAAGCUAGCGACUGAAGCCCCGGUGAACGGCGGCCUAACUAUAACGGUCCUAAGGUAGCGAAAUUCCUUGUCGGGUAAGUUCCGACCCGCACGAAAGGCGUAACGAUCUGGGCGCUGUCUCGGAGAGAGGCUCGGCGAAAUAGGAUUGUCUGUGAAGAUACGGACUACCUGCAUUUGGACAGAAAGACCCUAUGAAGCUUUACUAUAGCUUGGAAUUGUGUUCGGGCUUCCUGUGCGCAGGAUAGGUGGGAGGCGUAGAAGGUAUUCUUGUGGGGAUACUGGAGCCAACGGUGAGAUACCACUCUCAGGAGGCUAGAAUUCUAACUUAAUUAAGGACAGUUUCAGGUGGGUAGUUUGACUGGGGCGGUCGCCUCCAAAAAGGUAACGGAGGCGUACAAAGGUUCCCUCAGACUGGUUGGAAAUCAGUCGAAGAGUGCAAAGGCAGAAGGGAGCUUGACUGCGAGAAGUACAGUUCGAGCAGGGUGGAAACACGGUCUUAGUGAUCCGACGGUGCUGUGUGGAAGGGCCGUCGCUCAACGGAUAAAAGUUACUCUAGGAUAACAGGCUGAUCUCCCCCAAGAGUUCACAUCGACGGGGAGGUUUGGCACCUCGAUGUCGGCUCAUCGCAACCUGGGGCGGAAGUACGUCCCAAGGGUUGGGCUGUUCGCCCAUUAAAGCGGUACGUGAGCUGGGUUCAGAACGUCGUGAGACAGUUCGGUCCAUAUCCGAUGUAGGCGUGAGAAUAUUGAGAGGAGCCUUCCUUAGUACGAGAGGACCGGGAAGGACGCACCGCUGGUGUACCUGUUAUGAUGCCAACUGUAAACGCAGGGUAGCCAAGUGCGGAGAGGAUAACCGCUGAAAGCAUCUAAGUGGGAAGCCCACCUCAAGAUGAGUAUUCUGGUGUAAGGUCACGGGAAGACGACCCGUAAAUAGGCACGAGGUGGAAGUGCAGAGAUGUAUGAAGCCGAAGUGUACUAAUAGACCGUCGGC
Molecule: ribosomal RNA, 1317 nt
Filed under: metagenome
Description: bacterial LSU rRNA
Rfam family: Bacterial large subunit ribosomal RNA
Source: RNAcentral